AAGUCGUAACAAGGUUUCCGUAGGUGAACCUGCGGAAGGAUCAUUACCAAAUGACCAACCAACCUUCACACAUGAGCACUUGUCUGCAGGACCUGGCGCGCGCCGUCGGGCAGAGAGAUGAUGUGAUAAACUGACGUUCAUCUAUUUGAUGUUCUGAUGUUCAUCCGUCAUCGCUGUCUGGUGGCCGCGCCAACUUCAUCAACAACCACAUACAACAACAAUACAACUUAUCCAUUAUUGCAGUGUAGUGACUGCAAUCAAAACUAAAAAACAACUUUUAGCAACGGAUCUCUAGGCUCUU
Molecule: unclassified non-coding RNA, 301 nt
Filed under: fungal sp.
Lineage: Eukaryota; Fungi
Description: partial internal transcribed spacer region
Rfam family: Eukaryotic small subunit ribosomal RNA (bases 1-46)
Source: RNAcentral